Brassica napus (rape) is the source of this 1584-nucleotide long non-coding RNA. RefSeq lists it as uncharacterized. Lineage: Eukaryota; Viridiplantae; Streptophyta; Magnoliopsida; Brassicales; Brassicaceae. The record is from RefSeq and is a predicted model, not a curated record. The transcript is spliced from 7 exons.
GGCUUAUAACUAAACAACCCACCUGAUUGUCUUCUACCUUUUUUUCACGAACGGCAAAACCAGGUUUCAUCGUGUUAUUCAUCUGUUACUAGCUAGAGCUACAAUGGUGUCCAUUUGGGGAUCCUUCAGAAACUUUCUUAUUCGCGACAGACGGUGGUGAAAAUUAGGGUUAGCCGUUAUCUUCACAAUGAACGAGCUUGAGCAACAAUGGUGAUCUAAUCGAGUCCCCAGACGUUACGACUCUCUUCUUUCAUCAUCUUUAAGAGAUGUCUUAACUCAACCGACGCAAUCAAUCACGACGUCUCAUUCAAUCAUACUCAUUCAACUCCAAGGCCGGUUUCUUUACUUAUAAAAAAGGUGUGGUUGCUCCAAUCCAGGUGUGGAUGCUCCAAUUCUGGGAGGCCGGAAAAGCACAACGCGGUGAUGAGUUAAUGGGAGUUGAUAUGCUCCUCUUCGAUGUGAAGUCAACCCUCAUGCCAGCCACCGUGAACGUUCACCGGCUAGCCAAUUUCAGGGAUCGUCUCCAGGCUGCGGAUUUGAUAUCACUCGGUGCAACCAGAACUUCAGGCUUUCAGACUCACUUAUGACAAUACUGUUCAGUGAUUCAACCAAUCUAGAUGUGCUAACCGAACCAUAUUCACCCAUUCCUGUAAAACGUUUCAGGUUCCGUGAUUAGCCAACACCAACACCAACACCUCUUCCAUGAACGUUAUUGGUGAGCUCACUGCUGUGAAAAGUACAGUGAGUGACAUUUAGUCUAGCGAGUUAUGGGACUAUUAAGAUCGACAGUAAUAUCUCUGUCACUUUGAGUCUGAUUGACUCACAAGAUGUCUCUUUUCACAAGAAACUUGAAGGAUUCCUGGGAGAUCCAAGGGUUGUUGCAAUUAGCAUAAACCCAAAGAUGAUUGAAUAUUUUUCUGCAGGACGUUUGUUCUUGAAUGCCACCUCGGGAACGCAUUUAUUUUCCGACAAGGCAACUGAUGCAGGGGAAAUUCAAUUUUAGGACACAUGCUGGUUUCCAAAGCCAUUGGGAUCACCCCUGUUUCAUCAUUGCUGAGAGGCUAUGCAAAGGUUGAGCCUCUUACUAUAGCUGAGCUCAAUGAGUUUGUCAUCAUUUCCGAGCCUCAGGUUGUACGGUCAGUUUUUACUGUUUAAAGUUUAUUUUCUGUAUGUUGUUCUGAAAGGUUCAAAAUAUAGGACACUGAAUUUGUCUGCACUAGAAUGGUGACUGAUAUCAAACUGGAGAAAGGCUGGUGUUACGUCUCUUGCUCAAGGUGCACAAAGAACCUCCAACGGACGGUGUCAUCCUUGCGUGACCUGCAGUAACACCACGCAUCAAACCAUUGCAGGAACAUCUCUAAGUGGUCGCCAUCAAGAAACCUUAGGCAUCAAAGUCUUCAAAGGUGGUCAAGAAGCCACGUAAGGAAUAGUGAAGAUGAGGGUUGUGAUGCGGAUGGAGUACUUGCUGUUUCAAUAAUGAUUGUGUGUUAACGUGAGUUUUCUUUUAAACUGUCCUCUUAUGGAGUUUGGUAUGUUUAAAAAAAAAUCUAUAUAACUAUAAUAAAAAUGCUUUUUUGGACUUUA